UACAGAGGUCCCAAGCGUUGUUCGGAUUCAUUGGGCGUAAAGAGCGCGUAGGCGGUCCGGUAAGUCCGCUCUGAAAGUCCGGGGCUCAACCCCGGGAGGCGGGCGGAUACUGUCGGGCUAGAGUCCGGAAGAGGCGAGUGGAAUUCCCGGUGUAGCGGUGAAAUGCGCAGAUAUCGGGAGGAACACCUAUGGCGAAGGCAGCUCGCUGGGACGUUACUGACGCUGAGACGCGAAAGCGUGGGGAGCAAACAGG
This 253-nucleotide ribosomal RNA is filed under the name uncultured bacterium. Its description in RNAcentral is "partial 16S ribosomal RNA". It matches the Rfam family "Bacterial small subunit ribosomal RNA", at positions 524 to 776 of the family's 1533-position model. The record is from RNAcentral.